Molecule: long non-coding RNA, 1325 nt
Organism: Dreissena polymorpha
Lineage: Eukaryota; Metazoa; Mollusca; Bivalvia; Myida; Dreissenidae
Exons: 3
Source: RefSeq, a predicted model, not a curated record
GAAUUACUCUGCCGCGUCUUUUCGACCGUAUCUUCCACUGUUCUUAUUCAGAUAUGAGCCAACAGCAAAGAGCAGCUGCUCUUUUAAGGCAGGCAGCAGAUUUGUUGAAUGUCAACACAAGUGACAGUACAUGUAGUACACAAUACCAGCACCUGCACCAGUAACCUCUGUCAGUAGCACCAGUGCUGCAAAGGCAAUUUUUGCACCCGACAGUAAAAGAAGGAGGCAUGGACAUGCAAAUACAGGAACUGUGGCAGUGUCAGCACUGGACUAUUACACUCAGGUGUUAUCAGGUCCCUGGUUACAACUAAAGACCACCUGUUGACGGAGCUAGACAGACCCGGGAGAGACACCAGUACAGAGGUGAAUCAGAUUAACUGGAGCUACAAGCAGGUUAAGAAAAGUCUUCAGGGACCAGUCUAAAUGUUCGGAUAAUGAUAAUAGAGUGUACUAUGUGUUUUAUUUCUAAGAAUUUUGGCCACUCUGUAUCCAAUAUCCGAAGUGUUAUUUAAUUAAGAUUUAGGAAAAAUAAGGCCAAUCUUAAUAAAAAAUAUUCUGCUAGUUGGAACAUAUUGAACUGUUUAUUCAAUCAUACAGCCAUUUGUUGUUUGCCAUUUGAGCAUUUGGCAUGCUUAGGCUCAACAAAAUAUUAGAGAAAUUGAUUUAUUUCACAUUAUUUAACUUAUCUUGCGAUGAUUUUACAAGCAUAUUGUUCACACAUCUUGUACAUUGGUAAGCAGAUAUGUUCCUGCUAGAUUUCAAUAGUGUAUUUUUUAGUAAAAAUGUCUUGCCUUUCUAUUUUGUUGUGCUGACAUUGAGACAUUAGUUAUAAUUUGUUUGCAGUAAACGGCCUAGGUUAAGUAGACCUGGUAUUCAGUCAAAUUGAGCUGCGUUCUGGGGAAAUUGGCUUUAUGCAUGAGUGUGAAGUGUCAUCCCAGAUUAGCUUAUGUGGUCCACACAUGCUUAUCCGGGACAACAAUUUCGGCCUAGUUUCUUCCCUGAUUAGCCUGUGCGGACCGUACAAGUUUAUCUGCGACAACACUUUAGGUACAUGCAUUAAAACCCAUUUUCCCCAGAGCAAGGGUCAAUUGUAUGUUUUUCCUUUCAAUAUUCACAUGCCCUUUAUUUAAGGAUCAUACAGAUUCUUAAUGCCUAUUUAUUGUAAGCUGACUAUUCAGUCAUAACCAAAAAGCGUUAUAAGAUCUUUGUUAAAGACAGGACACUGAAUUCUAGCAUUUAAUGAGGUUAUGUGCUUUUCCACACUUAUUCUAUGUCUUUUAUAAGUAAUAGGUGAGCACUAGCAACAAUACAAUUUGCUACCAAAA